This 1982-nucleotide long non-coding RNA is filed under the name Canis lupus familiaris (dog). Its description in RNAcentral is "lncRNA (ENSCAFG00845016961.1)". The record is from RNAcentral. Lineage: Eukaryota; Metazoa; Chordata; Mammalia; Carnivora; Canidae.
UUUUUUUUUCUUUUUUUUUUAGAGAGGACUUUAAAAAAAAAAUCUUUAAAAAAAUCUUUAUUGAGCAUUUAUUUUUUUUAAAGAUUUAUUUAUUUUAGGGGGAGCAAAGGGAGAGAAUCUCAAGCAUAGAGCUUGAUCCCACGACCCCAAGAUCAUGACCUGAGCCAAAAUCAAGAGUGAAAUGCUCAACUGACUGAGCAACCCAUUGCCCCACUUAUUAAGCAUAUAAAUGCUGGGCAUUAUUCUAGGCACUGGGAAUAUAGUGGUUCAAAAAACAAUAAAGACCCAACCUCCAGUAACUGAAAAUCUAAUGGAGAGAAAAAAGCAAAUAAGCAAUACAUCACAACAAAUUACAGAAAUCAACUACUAAUAUAGAAGUAAGCUUGUAAAGAUAAAUUCAAGACACACACAAAAAAAGGAAUAGAAAAAGAAAAGUUGGUAGAGAUCAGGGAAGUCAUCUCAGAGAACAGCCAAACUGAGAGCUGGUGUAGGCAGAGGGAGAAAACAGCAUGUCCCAGGAGUUCAUUGGAGAAGACAAGUGGCUAGACAGAAAAACAUGAUUCAGUCAUGAAAGGCCUUAAAUGCCAUGCUAGUAUUUUGGACUUUAUCUUGAAAUUAAUGGGAACCGGGGAUCCCUGGGUGGCUCAGUGGUUUAGCGCCUGCCUUCAGCCCAGGGAGUGAUCCUGGAGUUCCGGGAUCAAGUCCCACAUCAGGCUCCCUGCAUGGAGCCUGCUUCUCCCUCUGCCUGUGUCUCUGCCUCUCUCUCUCUCUCUCUGUGCCUCUCAUAAAUGAAUAUAAAUAAAAUCUUAAAAAAAAAAAAGAAAUUAAUGGGAACCAAUUACUUACUUAGCAGAAAAGUGAAACGAUCAGGGUUGCAUUUUAGAACAUUCUGACAUAAGUAAGGGUGGAGGGUUUGAAGGCCAGGCAACACUGAUGCAAAAUAGUUAAAUGGCUAUUGUGGUACUUUAGUCUUCAACACAGGAAUUAAGUGAAUGCUAAGUAUGGCUGAGUGUGGAGGAGGACUCAAUGACCAGGCUUCUGUCUGGCACAACUGGCCAGAGAUUAUUGCUAACAUUUAUUAAGAUCUGUGCCAGAAACCACGCUAAGCAUUUGACAUGCAUGAGCUCAUUUAAUUCUCUCCACAAACCCCUAUGUACAAUUAUUCUCAUUUUACAGGGGAAACUAAAAUUUAUGUUAAAUAACUUGCCAAGAUCAUGAUUAAAUCUAGAUCUUUCUAAACAAAAAGCUUAGACAGCCCUAGUGGCUCAGUGGUUUAGUGCCGCCUUCGGCCUGGGGCGUGAUCCUGGAGACCUGGGAUGGAGUCCCACAUCGGGCAUCCUGCAUGGAGCCUGCUUCUCCCUCUGCCUGUGUCUGUGUCUCUCUCUCUCCGGUGUCUCUGCCUCUCUCUCUCUCUCUCUGUCUCUCAUUAUUGAAUUAAAAAAAAAAAAAAAACCAAAAACUUAAAUACACAUAGUGCAAGUCCCAAUAUCUUCCUUUCCCUUCAAAUACCUACAUUUAACACAUCACUCCAUAAUUACUUUAUCUUGUUAGUAUUCAGGGAGGUAUUAUUCCUUAAUGUUUUCAGUUAACAUAUAGGCAAACUCUCGUUUCAUACUUAAUUCACUUCUGAAAAUUUUAAAGUACAAUGUCAGUUUCACAACAGAGUCCCAAUUUUAAAGCAGUACCUGUUUCCAGAGCACUAAACAUUUUAAGAUUCUUAACUUGUGAUUGGAAUCGACCUGUCAGAGGCAAUCCAGUGCACAUCGAAGAAAUGUCACAGGUGCCUAAGAUCAGGAUGAUCAGGAUAUGAGGUACUGCAUCUACCUCUCUGCAACUGGGUAAGCACCAAACCACCACUCUCCUGAACCCAAUGCAAGGAUAAAAGGAUUAGGGAACUUUCUAUUCAUUUUAUGACCAUAAGGUAUCUUCUAGCUUCUCAGAGCAGGGAGUGGAAGGUCUUUCUCCCUGCCAUGACAGCACAA